UACGAAGGGGGCUAGCGUUGCUCGGAAUGACUGGGCGUAAAGGGCGCGUAGGCGGCUUGCACCGUCAGAUGUGAAAUUCCUGGGCUUAACCUGGGGGCUGCAUUUGAUACGUGUGGGCUUGAGUGCGGAAGAGGGUCGUGGAAUUCCCAGUGUAGAGGUGAAAUUCGUAGAUAUUGGGAAGAACACCGGUGGCGAAGGCGGCGACCUGGUCCGUGACUGACGCUGAGGCGCGAAAGCUAGGGGAGCAAACAGG
Molecule: ribosomal RNA, 253 nt
Filed under: uncultured bacterium
Lineage: Bacteria
Description: partial 16S ribosomal RNA
Rfam family: Bacterial small subunit ribosomal RNA
Source: RNAcentral